RNAcentral lists this ribosomal RNA (433 nucleotides) under uncultured bacterium. RNAcentral describes it as "bacterial SSU rRNA". It matches the Rfam family "Bacterial small subunit ribosomal RNA", at positions 340 to 786 of the family's 1533-position model. The record is from RNAcentral.
UACGGAAGGCAGCAGUGGGGAAUAUUGGACAAUGGGCGAAAGCCUGAUCCAGCCAUGCCGCAUGAGUGAAGAGGGCCUUCGGGUUGUAAAGCUCUUUUAGUGAGAAAGAUAAUGACGGUACUCACAGAAGAAGUCCUGGCUAACUCCGUGCCAGCAGCCGCGGUAAUACGGAGAGGGCUAGCGUUAUUCGGAAUUAUUGGGCGUAAAGAGCGCGUAGGCUGAUUAGUAAGUUAAAAGUGAAAUCCCAAAGCUUAACUUUGGAAUUGCUUUUUAAAACUGCUAGUCUAGAGAUUGAAAGAGGAUAGAGGAAUUCCUAGUGUAGAGGUGAAAUUCGUAAAUAUUAGGAGGAACACCAGUGGCGAAGGCGUCUAUCUGGUUCAAAUCUGACGCUGAGGCGCGAAGGGCGUGGGGAGCAAACAGGGAUUUAGAUACC